UCUGCAGACUUAGAAAAAUGUAAAUACCAGACGUGUAAAAUGUAAAUGUAGCCAACUCAAGAGCCGUUUCCUUUCUGGUGUGUGCCUGACAUGGAAUAGGGGUAAUCCUGGUCUAAAGGGAAACGGGGGAGAGGAAGGGAGAAGACUUGUAUAUCAGCUAGGAAUCUGCAGCAGACAUUGCAAGCCAUUUGACGGUACCAUGGUGGGACGAUGGAGGAACAGCGCCCUCUGAACUAGCAUACAGAGAGUUCAAGGAGGAGUUGACUGCAGCGGGUCUGGCAGCCAAUUCAGACAUGGAAGUGAGCUGCCAGUGGCACGGCUGUCUGCCAGCCUGAAGCGAGGAUGGGAUCUGUUUCCCUUGAUGGAAACAGACAUGACCCACCAGCCCCCUAACGUUAGCUGGCUGUUCACACUCAUCAUCUUUAAAGCCUGGCAAGGUGACAAGGCAAUGGGAGGCAGGAAGGCUUUUCUGAAGCACUCAAACUCUGUUUGACUGAAGAGGUUUUCUCAUUCUUCAGAUAAAGUAAGAUGAGAACGUAAUUCCUGAAGGUAACCCUUACCCCCAAGCUCUGUCCUGGAUGCUGGGCCGUUUAAUGAGAUACUGCUGCUGAGUCACAAGGAGAAGACAUGCCCCUUGCCCACCCUUCAGUCUUACAGGAGCCGUGAUUGGACAUCUGUUCCUGUCACCUUGGGGUUCCUCCCAGCGCUUUCUCCUGCAAAAACCUCGAGUGUGAUACCUGGCUUCUCUGCACUGGCUCCCAUGGAACAACUUCGCCAACCUUGAUCUACUGAUGUGCCAUCUACCCUGAAGCAUAUUCUUUGGCCAUGAAGUUUGGGGAGGAGAACCUCUAUCUCCUAGAUCCAGCAUCUUACUUUUCUUCCCUCUCUCCUCUUUCUGGCUUAAACUCUUUCACUCCCAGCCCACACUUUCCUCCAUAGAUCUAACCUUCCAAUAAACCUC
Molecule: long non-coding RNA, 961 nt
Organism: Mus caroli (Ryukyu mouse)
Lineage: Eukaryota; Metazoa; Chordata; Mammalia; Rodentia; Muridae
Source: RefSeq, a predicted model, not a curated record